RNAcentral lists this long non-coding RNA (636 nucleotides) under Brassica rapa (field mustard). RNAcentral describes it as "long non-coding RNA (BRAP_LNC005372)". Lineage: Eukaryota; Viridiplantae; Streptophyta; Magnoliopsida; Brassicales; Brassicaceae. The record is from RNAcentral.
CCUUACAACGUUACAAACUAUAUAUACGCUUUAAACUUGCAAAUAUAUAUAUAUAUAUUGUUAUAACAUACAGUUCAUCAUUUGGUCUGUCGGUCUCACAUCAAAGACCGUAACCAGAUCGGUGUAUAACUAUCUAAUCAUAUCUUGGAAUGCAUAAGUAUGAUGUGCUAUCUCAUUCGCCAUCCUGUUUUAUUUGAUAUGCCUAUAAAGAUAUCAAAAUAUGAGACUAAAGCUCUAGUUUAUUGUCGAUAAAGCUGAAGUUCGGAGCAUGUUGAAUAAUCUUGGUCAGACUUCGUCGGUUCGUCCCAAUCUCUCUUGAAGGAUAGCUGAGGUUCGGACCAUCUCCUCCGGUUCGUCUUGCCUCAACUCGUCUAACCCGUCCAUGUCUUGAUCAAGAUCCUCAUCCGGUUCUUGUCUUCCCAUGGUCACUCCACCUUUUUGCUGAAAGUUAAAGCCCGUGAACUGCCGGACUCGAAGAUAUGUUGUUGUUGCAAUAUGUUUUGGUUGUAUAUUCUCAUUUUAAUGUACUAAUAUGCAUCCUAAAAAAAAAAAUUCUCUUGGAAUAGAACAUAUAUACCUAGCCAAAAAAAAAAUAUAACCUGGAAGUGUAGCGAUGGUGCAACAUGGAAAUUGAGC